GGGCCGGUCGUCUAGUUUGGUUAGGACACAGCCCUUACGAGGCUGAGGUCGCCGGUUCAACUCCGGCCCGGCCCA
Molecule: transfer RNA, 75 nt
Filed under: Candidatus Bathyarchaeota archaeon
Lineage: Archaea; Thermoproteati; Candidatus Bathyarchaeota
Also listed under: 3 other names
Description: tRNA-Val
Rfam family: tRNA
About the family: Transfer RNA (tRNA) molecules are approximately 80 nucleotides in length. Their secondary structure includes four short double-helical elements and three loops (D, anti-codon, and T loops).
Source: RNAcentral